GAAUCAUAAGAAAUUGAUAUGUUAACGUAACUGAGUUUAACUUAACAAACGUUUUUUUCUUGAAGGUUUAUAUAAUGUUAUAUAUUAAUAUUUAUUUUGAGUGUUUUUAAAUGAACUAGUCAGAUUUUAUAAUUAUUACUGUCAGCUGGUUUUCGACAGCCCUCAUCUCAAGCAGUUUCAGCAUAGACGUUGAAAAUAUAUGCUAGAUUUAUAUUCUUAUCAGUAUUAUGCCCCCCUCUCAAGUAGCGGUGGCGGCAUUACAUUUUAUCCCUUGUCAGUUCGUACGUCCCGAAACUGUUCUGGUAAUAGAGUUUUUCUCAACCAAAUGUAAUAAAACUUUUGCACAAUGUUUGUAAUCACAAAACUAAAAGCAGAUCAAGUACAAAUCUGGGUAGCAUAGCAUUUACCGUCCUUUAUACAUUAUAUGUACACGGAGGUAUCAUCUGUGUCCCAUGUUAACAUUCCGCAUUUAUUUGCUAUUGUUGGCUGUGUUUUAUUUCUUUAACGUGAAGUCAAUUUAUCUCCGAAAUAUAUAUACACACAUGCUUAUUAUAUUUCAUCUGUUGAUAGUUGAGUUUAUGAUUAUGUCCGUUUUAUUUAGGUAAUAAAUCUCAGGUAUCUUGUUUCCUGGAACCAACUUAAUUCCCGCUUUAAGAAUAUUGUAAAUGUGAAAAUUUUGUUGCGGUAUCAAAUCCAAUACUUUACAAAAACAUGUUGUAAUUAAUAAACGCUCAAGGGUCCUUAAGACAUUGCUUAAGAGAUCUGAAUUUGUGUGUUAUUAACUAGCAAGAUGUGGGUUCGUAAAAAUCAACACUGCCAUUUUGCGAUGUAGUUAGAUUCUUGAAGGUAAGAACAUUUAGUGAAAACUAAAUUAUAAAAAAUGUCAAACAGACUUAGUUUCGCCCCAUAAGAUGUUAUUGAUACUGCCGACAGCUCAAACAAUAUUUUUUGUUAUUUGUUUCUUUCAAUUUUUCCUUUUUUAUUGUUAGUUUCAUGUCCAAUGGAUUUAUGCAUGCUCAUAGUAUUAUAUAUAAUUUUAUAUUGUAGUCAUUUGUUUGUUUGUUUUUCUUGUGUAUUUACCAUAUUAAUAAAAUAUACCAAAUAAAGUAUGUUUAUAUUAGAUCAUCUUCAACCAUAUGCAUUUUAAAAGGAUAUGGCAUCUUUGAUAGUGAUUUAAAAAAUGUAAUCUUUUAUUUAUGAUCUCGAUUAAAUUGUAUUAUUUUAUCAGCAUUUAAUGGACAAAUUGUCGAGUUAAUGAACACAAAAAUAAGCAUGUGUCUUCAGUUGCUAAAAUUUGCGCUUUACUGGUAAAAUGGCCUUUUAAAAAUUCAUUCUUAUUAUCUUGAUAACUUUUUAAUUUGCUGUUAAUUUGUUUAUUUUUCGUUUUUUUUAUAUAUAUUUAACUAUACUGUUUUUAUCCUUUUUACAAAUAUUAACUUAUAUAACUAUUAAAAUCAUGCAGGUAAGCAAAAGGUCAGUUUCCUCGUCAGAGUUUACCUAGUAUUACAGAUAGAUAUGAUAUGUUUUAUCUAACAAUUUGUUAGUUGGAGUCUAUUUUUGACGAUAUCUGUUAUUCUUUCAAGGUAUUGUUCAUUUAAGAGAACAACAAAUUCGUGUGAAUUUGAAUAGCUUGUAUUCAGCAAAAUAAAUUUGUUUCUUUUUUGUCAGUUUUGACUAAUAAAUGAUAGUGUUAUCUUACGUGUAUAUACAUUUAUAAAAUGUAAUCCAAUUUUUUCCAUUUCAAAUUGACUGAGACAAAUAUACGUUCUUACAUUUAUCUUCUAUAAACAUAGAGUUGCGAGUAAAAUCAUUUGUUUGGUAACGUAUGUUUUCCUAUGCAUUACUGUAAGUUGUAAUGAGAAGCAGACGACAGACGAACAAACGGACGGACGAACAGACGGACGAACGGGUGCACAGAACAAAC
Molecule: long non-coding RNA, 1924 nt
Filed under: Mytilus galloprovincialis (Mediterranean mussel)
Lineage: Eukaryota; Metazoa; Mollusca; Bivalvia; Mytilida; Mytilidae
Source: RNAcentral